Molecule: ribosomal RNA, 466 nt
Filed under: Pseudarthrobacter oxydans
Lineage: Bacteria; Bacillati; Actinomycetota; Actinomycetes; Micrococcales; Micrococcaceae
Description: bacterial SSU rRNA
Rfam family: Bacterial small subunit ribosomal RNA
Source: RNAcentral
CUGUGCUUGCCCGGGGNUUCUGGCGACGGGUGAGUACACGUGAGUACCUGCCCUUAACUCUGGGAUAAGCCUGGGAAACUGGGUCUAAUACCGGAUAUGACUCCUCAUCGCAUGGUGGGGGGUGGAAAGCUUUAUUGUGGUUUUGGAUGGACUCGCGGCCUAUCAGCUUNGUUGGUGAGGUAAUGGCUUACCAAGGCGACGACGGGUAGCCGGCCUGAGAGGGUGACCGGCCACACUGGGACUGAGACACGGCCCAGACUCCUACGGGAGGCAGCAGUGGGGAAUAUUGCACAAUGGGCGCAAGCCUGAUGCAGCGACGCCGCGUGAGGGAUGACGGCCUUCGGGUUGUAAACCUCUUUCAGUAGGGAAGAAGCGAAAGUGACGGUACCUGCAGAAGAAGCGCCGGCUAACUACGUGCCAGCAGCCGCGGUAAUACGUAGGGCGCAAGCGUUAUCCGGAUUUUUUG